GUGGAAGUUUGAUCAUCCGCCAUUUUCAACUGACGCUUGCAUAUGCUUAGUAUCCUGGAUAGAAUCCAUCGCCAUCUGAGGAUUAUUUGUUUCCAUUGGUUAUCAUCGCUACCGAAGACAGGAAAUCAUCAAAGACAUGCCAUUCAUUGCAGAGGUCAAAUACAGACGGCCUGCCCUGUUUUCAGAGACUGAGGUUGUUGCAGAGUUCACUCGCAUCAGCAUGGUCCCUUUGUUGUCGACUUUCAUGGCCAAGCUGGACCACUACGCUUGACCACCUUCUUGGAGUGUUCAAAAAGAA
Molecule: long non-coding RNA, 298 nt
Organism: Pelmatolapia mariae (spotted tilapia)
Lineage: Eukaryota; Metazoa; Chordata; Actinopteri; Cichliformes; Cichlidae
Exons: 3
Source: RefSeq, a predicted model, not a curated record